This 288-nucleotide unclassified non-coding RNA is filed under the name Lactarius imperceptus. RNAcentral's name for it is "partial internal transcribed spacer region". The stretch from base 1 to 46 matches the Rfam family "Eukaryotic small subunit ribosomal RNA", at positions 1786 to 1831 of the family's 1831-position model. Lineage: Eukaryota; Fungi; Basidiomycota; Agaricomycetes; Russulales; Russulaceae. The record is from RNAcentral.
AAGUCGUAACAAGGUUUCCGUAGGUGAACCUGCGGAAGGAUCAUUAUCGUACAAAAUGUGAGAGGGGUGCAUGCUUGGGCUGUUGCUGGCUCAAAGUAGCCGUGCACGCCUGGGUGUGUCCCCUCGCACAACAAUCCAUCUCACCCUUUUGUGCAUCACCGCGUGGGCUCCCUUCUCGGAGGGGGCUCGCGUUUUCACACAAACCCCCCUUUUAAAAGUGUAGAAUGACCUCAUGUAUGCGUUAACCCGCAAUCAAUACAACUUUCAACAACGGAUCUCUUGGCUCUC